UACGUAGGGACCAAGCGUUGUCCGGAAUCAUUGGGCGUAAAGAGCGUGUAGGCGGCUUGUUAAGUCUUGCGUGAAAUCUCGGGGCUCAACCCCGAGCGGUCGUGAGAAACUGGCAGGCUAGAGUUCGGUAGGGGAGACUGGAAUUCCUGGUGUAGCGGUGAAAUGCGCAGAUAUCAGGAGGAACACCGGUGGCGAAGGCGGGUCUCUGGGCCGAUACUGACGCUGAGGAGCGAAAGCGUGGGGAGCGAACAGG
This 253-nucleotide ribosomal RNA is filed under the name uncultured bacterium. RNAcentral describes it as "partial 16S ribosomal RNA". It matches the Rfam family "Bacterial small subunit ribosomal RNA", at positions 524 to 776 of the family's 1533-position model. The record is from RNAcentral.